CGGACUGACGGACGGAUGUUUUUUCUUGUUGGAGAAGUAUAGAAAUGCUUACGUUAUAAAAAAAAUCGCAGGGUUCGCGAAUUUCGCGAUAAGAACCAACACCAACCCACUCCUCGGCGCCCCGCGGAGCGAUGCCGUCUUGAUCGCCCCCUCCCAACCCCGGGAAAAGGGACACUACCUAUCUCAGUUGAAGAAACGAUGAUGAAACGUUAACGACAAGAACGGCAUCUCCUAACGAGUUGUCUUAUGGCCUCUGAGAUUUGCGCGCGCAGCUGGCGCGCGCGAACCUGGGAGGCCCUAAUUGGCCGCUUAAUAGCAUAAAAAGACAAAGAUAAUGCCAAAUGACACAGUUAAAAAUUCAAACAAAUAACUGAUCUUAAUUAUACUGUUUGGGAAAAAGAAAUAAAAAAUUAGACAGCCGCAACACACGCCACUAAAGCCACCACCGCCGGCAUAACGCGGAACCAACAGUUGGCAACAUUCAUUCGCGCGUCAUUGCUUCGUUCGCUUCGUCUCCGCAACGAGAGCCGCCAUCUUCUCGCGCCUAACGUUUUGUAUGGCUUUGUUCUCUGCAAUCCGCGCACGCAGCUCAUCGGUGGAUGCACGUCUGCUCGGCGUCGCAAUGCGGCCUGCGUCAUUUUUUGGUGUUCGCGCAAUCGGUGUGAAGCAUGUCGCAUGUGAAAUGUUUGGUAGAAGUGCCUCACGUCCAAGUCAAGCCGCCGUACGGGUGUAUGGCUGUGCGCCCUGUUCUCGGAAGCGUCGACGGGUUUCCGGCAUGCGGAUUUCAGCGUUUGGACUCGACUUUUGGUGAGGCUGUCGAUCGACCUUGGGCCUGGUGACAGCACACCCGACAUCGCCAAAGUGCAGCCUAUCAGUUGAGUGCCCCCGAAUGGACCAUCAACAUCGGAAACUGAAGCAGAGCCAGGGGGAAAAAGUUCCGGUAACACCAUGCAUUCAGUAUGGUGGCCCAGAAGUGUAUGCAAGCAACCUCCUUCAUGUGGACCAAGAACUACUGUGCAGUGUCUCACAGACUUCCAUGCGAAGCCCUCAACAUUCUCGUCUCAGUGGAAUGGCUGCUCAUCUAUCUGCAUGUCCAUCACCAAGACGGCUAGUUGUAAAGCUCCUGUACCCGUUUAAGAAAGCUGAAUGAUUUUUUUUAUUUAGUUUUCACGGUUGGCCGUAGAAUCUUAACAUUUUUGAUGUUUCUAACGUUUUUACCUGGCACAAAGUGGCGCAAUAACUUUAAACCAGUGUAAUGUAUUUAAGUGAUGCUCACUCUAAUGCCUAUCUGGUUUUGUUUGUGUUUAAGAAAUUUGAAUGUCUGAUGAGGUAACAGCAUUUAAAUUUGUCAUCGUGGCUUGUUUCAAUGAGCUGCUAGGAAAUAAGAUGCAAAACUUAUCACACGCCAGUUGUAGCAUUUUUGUAUUCAUGACUAAAGUAUACACGUUUCAAAAGAUGGAAAGUGGGGAAAAAAAGCCUCAAGAACAUAAUCAUCCUAGGAUUGUCAUGUCCUUACAACUCUGCAAUGACUAAUGCCUCAUGCAUCUUGGGAGCACAAUGGUCGCAAUGCCUACAGGUAUACUUGAUAAGAGACUAGCUUGCAAAAAUUUAGUUGAGAGUUAGCGCUCAUCCUGUCUGCUUCUAGUCUGUGUCCAUGCCACUUCGCGCUACAAUCCAAGAUCAUGUCACUGUACCAACUCGCCCAACUUUUUAUCCUUGUGUUAAAGACACACUCAGACUUGUUCUUACUUAUGUGACCGGUUAUUUUUGUGCUUUAUAAUAAGAUGCAGUGCUUUUAGAAUGAAAACGUGAUAUUUAGUAGUGAGGUUAUUUAAAAAAACUGUUCUGCUUAAAAUUUAAUUGAGCAAGCCUGUGCCAUUAUUCGGUGCUUAUGUCUUUGUAUUGGUAUGGUUUUACUCAUCUUCCUUUUUACUUUUAAAAUGUGCAAACAUUAUUAUGUAACCAUUUCUCUUGAAUGAAAUAAAUACUUCUGACAUUUCGUCACAAAUUUUACAA
Molecule: long non-coding RNA, 2016 nt
Organism: Dermacentor albipictus
Lineage: Eukaryota; Metazoa; Arthropoda; Arachnida; Ixodida; Ixodidae
Source: RefSeq, a predicted model, not a curated record